Molecule: ribosomal RNA, 612 nt
Filed under: Gliomastix murorum var. felina
Lineage: Eukaryota; Fungi; Ascomycota; Sordariomycetes; Hypocreales; Bionectriaceae
Description: eukaryotic LSU rRNA
Rfam family: Eukaryotic large subunit ribosomal RNA
Source: RNAcentral
GCAUAUCAAUAAGCGGAGGAAAAGAAACCAACAGGGAUUGCCUCAGUAACGGCGAGUGAAGCGGCAACAGCUCAAAUUUGAAAUCUGGCUCCCUUGGGGGUCCGAAUUGUAAUUUGCAGAGGAUGCCUCGGGUGCGGGUUCCUUCCGAGUUCCCUGGAACGGGACGCCAUAGAGGGUGAGAGCCCCGUCUGGUCGGAAACCCAGCCCAUGUGAGGCUCCCUCGACGAGUCGAGUAGUUUGGGAAUGCUGCUCUAAGGGGAGGUAUACUCCUUCCAAGGCUAAAUACCGGCUAGAGACCGAUAGCGCACAAGUAGAGUGAUCGAAAGAUGAAAAGCACUUUGAAAAGAGAGUCAAAUAGCACGUGAAAUUGCUGAAAGGGAAGCGCUUAUUACCAGACUUGGGUUCGGCGGUUCAACCGGCGCCACGCGCCGGGGCACUCCGCCGGCCCAGGCCAGCAUCAGCUCUCCGUCGGGGGCAAAGGCGUCGGGAAUGUAGCUCCCCCUCGGGGGAGUGUUAUAGCCCGGCGUGUCAUACCCUUCGGGGGGCUGAGGUCCGCGCUCCGCAAGGAUGCUGGCGUAAUGGUAAUCAGUGACCCGUCUUGAAACACGGACC